Mycena leptocephala is the source of this 93-nucleotide non-coding RNA. The record is from the annotation of a GenBank genome assembly. Lineage: Eukaryota; Fungi; Basidiomycota; Agaricomycetes; Agaricales; Mycenaceae.
GGUCUGGUGGUGUAGCGGCAACACCUCCCUCUUCAUUGACCCGUGAUGAUACAAGUAUUUGGGGUGUCCCUUGUUCGAAUCAAGGCCAGGCCA